AUGCUUGAUUGGUACAAAGCAAGGAAGGAGGAAGUGAGAAUUGCGUUUGAUGAGCUAUGUCCAGGAAAUGCACAAAUGAUUUCUUCGACAAUUCAAAAACAACUUGCCAAAAGUUGUGCAGAUGGAGUCCGAAGAGCAAUAAAACAAGGGAUGGGGGGUAAUCUUUUUUCAGUUCUUAUUGAUGAAUCUCGUGAUAUAUUAGUAAAAGAGCAAAUGGCCUUAGUUGUGAGGUAUAUGAACAAGGGAGAAGUUAUUGAAAGAUUUUUGGGUAUCAAGCAUGUCAAGGAGACAACAACAGAAGCAUUAAAGAAAGCACUAGUUGAGGUUCUUGGUAAGAAUGGGCCACUUAUUGCAAAUUUACGAGGGCAAGGGCAUGAUGGAGCAUCUAAUAUGAGGGGAGAAUUCAAUAGUGUUCAAAAACUUGUCCGAGAUGAAAACCCAUAUGCUUUCUAUAUGCAUUGUUUCGCCCAUCGAUUGCAGCUUGUAGUUGUUGCUGUCUCAAGAUGUUGUUCUUCCAUUGAGGAUUUCUUUGAAUAUGUGGCCUUAAAUUGUGAACGCCGCUGGUUCGUCUUGCAAGAGGAAGGAUAUAUUCCUUGA
This 597-nucleotide ribosomal RNA is filed under the name Triticum aestivum (bread wheat). RNAcentral's name for it is "partial small subunit ribosomal RNA". The record is from RNAcentral. Lineage: Eukaryota; Viridiplantae; Streptophyta; Magnoliopsida; Poales; Poaceae.